RNAcentral lists this ribosomal RNA (254 nucleotides) under uncultured bacterium. Its description in RNAcentral is "partial 16S ribosomal RNA". It matches the Rfam family "Bacterial small subunit ribosomal RNA", at positions 524 to 776 of the family's 1533-position model. The record is from RNAcentral.
UACGUAGGGGGGCAAGCGUUGUCCGGAAUCAUUGGGCGUAAAGAGCGUGUGGGCGGCCUGAUAAGUCGGCUGUGAAAGUCAAGGGCUCAACCCUUGAAUGCCGGCCGAUACUGUCAGGCUAGAGUCCGGAAGAGGCGAGUGGAAUUCCUGGUGUAGCGGUGAAAUGCGCAGAUAUCAGGAGGAACACCAAUGGCGAAGGCAGCACUCUGGGACGUGACUGACGCUGAUGCGCGAAAGCGUGGGGAGCAAACGGG